ACGUAGGUGGCAAGCGUUGUCCGGAAUUACUGGGUGUAAAGGGAGCGCAGGCGGGGAGACAAGUCAGCUGUGAAAACUAUGGGCUUAAACCAUAAACUGCAGUUGAAACUGUUUUUCUUGAGUGGAGUAGAGGUAGGCGGAAUUCCGAGUGGAGCGGUUAGUGGCGUAGAUAUUCGGAGGAGCACCAGUGGCGUAGGCAGCCUACUGGGCUCUAACUCACGCUGCGGCUUGAGAGUGUGGUGACCAAAAAG
This 251-nucleotide ribosomal RNA is filed under the name uncultured prokaryote. RNAcentral's name for it is "partial 16S rRNA". It matches the Rfam family "Bacterial small subunit ribosomal RNA", at positions 525 to 775 of the family's 1533-position model. The record is from RNAcentral.